AUACGGAGGGUGCAAGCGUUACUCGGAAUCACUGGGCGUAAAGCGCGCGCAGGCGGCUUGAUAAGUUGGAUGUGAAAGCCUACGGCUCAACCGUAGAACUGCAUCCAAAACUGUCAGGCUAGAGUGUGGGAGAGGAAGAUGGAAUUAGUUGUGUAGGGGUAAAAUCCGUAGAGAUAACUAGGAAUACCAAAAGCGAAGGCAAUCCUCUGGAACACUACUGACGCUGAGGCGCGAAAGCGUGGGGAGCAAACAGGAUUAGAAACCCGAGUAGUCC
This 274-nucleotide ribosomal RNA is filed under the name uncultured bacterium. RNAcentral's name for it is "partial 16S ribosomal RNA". It matches the Rfam family "Bacterial small subunit ribosomal RNA", at positions 523 to 796 of the family's 1533-position model. The record is from RNAcentral.